Non-coding RNA from Phalacrocorax carbo (great cormorant), 3310 nucleotides. NCBI's taxonomy places the organism in Eukaryota, Metazoa, Chordata, Aves, Suliformes, Phalacrocoracidae. The record is from RefSeq and is a predicted model, not a curated record.
GGCGGUGCCUGGCGCGGCGCCUCCCGCUCUGCCGCUGCCGGGGCCGGGGCUGACGCCGCGCCGCGCCGCGCUGCCCUUUUUCGUCAGUGGAAAACUCCGGGCUCUGACGCAGGCGGUGACAGACGCGGGGCCGGCGCGCGCCCGGCCCGCCCGGCUUCCUGCCCUCCCUCCCCUCCCCUCCCCUCCCCUCCCCUCCCUGGGCGGGGCGCUGAGUCAGGGCCAGCGGGAGGCCACGCCCCGCCCCGCCCCGCCCGCCCGGCGCUGAGGCGGGGUGGGGGGGGGCACACGGUGGGGUUUGGGAGCCAGAGCGCGGGCGGGGGGGGACACCCACGGGUACAGCUUGGAUCCCACACGGGAUCGGGGUCCCACAGGGGGUUUGGGAGCCACAGCUAGGCUUGGCCCCUGAAAGGGAUUUGGGCCCCGCAAAGGGUUGGGGUCCCUGCAUGGGGUUUGGGAUCCACAGGGGCAACUUGGACCCCAGCAUGGCCGUGGGUGCCUCAAUGGGUUUGCACCCCACAAGGGAUCAGGGUCCUACAGGGGGUUUGGGACCCACAAGGAGUGGAGGGCCCAUGGGCAAGGAUUGGACCCUGAAACAGAUUUGGGUCUCACAGGGGGUUGGGGACUCCCAACCAGGCAUUGAGCCCAUAAGGGGUUUGGGUGCCUCAGGGGGUUCAGAGCCCACAAGUGUUUGGGGAGACACAGGCAAGUAUUGGACCUGAAAACAUGUUUGGGCGCCAUAAGGAGUUUGUCCACUGAAAGGAAUUUGGACACCACAAAGGGUUUGGGUCCCUUCCUGGGGUUUGGGACCCACAGGCACAACUUGGACCCCAGAUGGACGUGGGUGCCUCAAGGGGUUUGGAUCCCACAGGGGCCUGGGCACCCACGGACACAGCUCGGAUGCCAAGAGUGGGGCACCGCAGGGGCUUUGAGUCCCACAGACUUGGCCCCUGGAGGGGGUUUGGACCCCACAGGGGUUUUGGGACCAACAGGCACAGCUUGGACCCACAAGCACUUUGGGACCCAUGGGCAAGGCUUGGAGCCCAAAACAAAUUUGGGUCCCACAGGAGGGGUUGGCCCCACAGGAAUUUGGGACCCAUGGGGGAUAUCGGACCCACAAGCAAGGUUUGGCCCAUACAAGGGAUUUAGGCCCUAUAAGGGAUUUGGGUCCCACAGGAGAGGCUUGGCCUCCAAAGGGGGUUGACAUCCAAAACAAGGGUUUGGCCCACAAGUAAGAGUUUUGGCCCCCCAAGGUGGUUGGGAUUCAGAAGCAAGUUUGGUCCUCAAAAGGCUUUCUGGACACCAAGGGGGUUUGUCACCUACACAAAAGGCUUGGCCCCCGAAAAGGAUUAGGGCCCCAUAGGGGUUUUGGGCCCCACAAGUAAGGCUUGGACCACACAAGAGGUUUUGGCCCCGUGUGGGAUUUGGGAUGCACAAGAAAGGUUUGGCCUCUUGCAGGGUUUUGGGCCCACCUGAAGGUGCUUGGGGCAGAGCCAUGAGGCUUGGCUCCUGAAGGGAAUUUUGGACCCAGGGGGAUUUGAUCCCCCAAACGUGUUUGGGCCCUACAGGCAAAGGUUGACCCUGAAAGGCAUUUGGGCCCCCCAAAGGAACUUGGGCCCUAUGAGCAAGGUUUGACCACCAAAUGGGUUUGAGACCCACAAGCAAGAGUUGGCCCCCAAAGGGGGGUCUCUGAAAGGGAGUUUGGCCCUAUAAGUGACGCUUGGCCCCCAGAGGGAUUUAAAGCCCUACAGGCAAGAGACACGAUGUUUUGGGGAGUUCGUUUCCCAGGAUGGCUGGAAUGGGAGGGAUGUCUGGGACCCUGCACCAGGUCACCCCCCAGCUCUGGUCGCUGCAGCUUUCAGCUGAGGGUCUCCACACGCUUAGACCACCAGGAGCUUUCAGAGAGCUGCACUGCUGCAAUUAAACCCCUUGAAGUGGUAGGUGAGGUGCAGAAUGACCUGGUGUUUCCCAAUUUUGAUGCUUGGCUGGGUUUUCGCCCCAAAAGUUGGAGCUGGGCCAAUGGCCGGUGGCAUUGCCAGAGUCCCCAAGCUAUGAAGCUGCCUGUUCUCAGGGUAGGUCUUUAAAAUAGAGCCCAUCUGUACCCCGCAGGGUGUGGGGUACAGCCAAGCUGCAGGAGUCCCCGUGUAGGACGAAGUCCACGGAGGUGGAAGGACGUGUGUUCUUUGGCUCCAUGGAGGAGCCUGAAGACAGCCGUAGCAGGGUCUCCUCAACUCCAUUUCUGCAUCCAGCCUCUAAGGGCCUGCCUCACCCCCUUCCUAUGCAAGGUGUCUCAUUUGGAAGGUGCCCAGUCUGACCAUGAAGAGAGGAGAUGAGGAACAUCCUCCUCUCCCCACGCAGCCGGAGCGGCACACAGUCCCUGCGCCCAGGAAAGCCCUCACUCCUUUGGCAAAGGCAGCUGGCAGCACUGGGCCGGAGCUGGUUUCCCUGGCUGGGCGCCAUGUGAGUGCUGCUCCGGCAGGAGGAAAUUCCCUGCUGACCAGCCAUGGUGGUGAUAAGUGGUCUGGCAGAGAGCAGCAGCCGCAGACCAAGCACAGGGAGCGGGGAACCCAGCGGGAAAGGACUGGAGGAGGAUGCUGCGUGAUACCCAGGGCAGCGAGAUAAGAGGGUGAGCCAGCCAAGCUCUGGGUGUCAAGCUCCUUGCUGCCUGUUUUGUGCUUGCCCUGCAGCAGGAGAAGCGCUUUCCCUGGGGUUGAAAGCUUCCUGGUGCUUAGGGAUGGAUAAAUCAUGAGUAUCUGGGCUUGGUGAUAGGAAUUUUUUUUCCGAGUUUUGCAUGCACAUCCCCAGCGUGGUUCUGAAAGGGCUCAUCAGCUGUAUCUGGCUGUGGAUGCGUUGCUGGGUACUGUGGCAGCCCGUCUGGGAAUAAAGGUACGGGGACAUGGGAAAAGAAACCACCACUGAACCAACCCCGCUUGAGCAAUUGCAUGUCCAGCAUCACCCUGCACCGGCCCCAUGGCCCCGACUUGUCCCGUUUUGCGUUCAGGUAAAAUGAACGCUUAGCUUUUAUAACGCCUUGUGCAGUCGCAGUGAACUGCCACGGCUGCUCACAGGCUGCCUCUCUUGGUGCCAGGGCUCCUUCCCACCCCAUGCAUCUGAAACACAAGUUGAACAAGGAACUUGACUUGAUCUCAAGUUGAGUUGUUUGGGUUGUUUUCCCUUGAAAGAUGGCCAUAAAAGUGGCAAAUCAAAGACUUUGCUUCAGCCGCGCUCUGGUCUGUUCACCUACACUGGGAGCUGUGGGAGGGAUGCGGCCAUGCUUUAUUUCAUUUAAGGCCAAUGCCUUGAAUGCUAUGGA